Nicotiana attenuata is the source of this 624-nucleotide long non-coding RNA. RefSeq lists it as uncharacterized. The transcript has 3 exons. The record is from RefSeq and is a predicted model, not a curated record. Lineage: Eukaryota; Viridiplantae; Streptophyta; Magnoliopsida; Solanales; Solanaceae.
UAAAAUAAAGCCCUAACUAUGGUUAAAGUAUUUAAUUCCUUCCAUUAUCCAUUCCUAAAUAAUAUCUUUUGUCUCUCUUAGCGCUAGAACUUCCCAUAAUUUCUCCCUCUAUGCGCCAAAUACAGCUGCUCUGCAGGAAACACCGAAAAUCAUGGUAGCGGAGAAAAUCUUUCAGAUUUUUACCAUGAAAAUCCAGUCCUUGAAGUUAAAAAUCAAUAGAGAAAAACAAAACAAGUGAAAAAACAGAGAACAAGAUAGCAAGUCGUGGAACUUCAUUUUUCUGGAAAUAACUGCUCUGAAAUUCUCGCCGGAUUUAUGGAGAUCCCAUCUCAAAAUGAACAUAUGUAUUCUUCAGAAUCGUCUCAGCUAACAUCUCAUGGAAGUCUAUCUCAACUCCUAAGAGAUAUUUCAUUUCAUAAUUUAAACAAGUACUCUUAAAGUUGAUCGCCAAUAUCAUGAAAGAACAAAGGUUGCAUAGCUAUAUAACUUGCAUUGUCACCACAAAAAUGAUUUCAAAACUUCUAUUUAUUCCAAAAAAAUCAGUGACUGUUCCAGCUUUGGAGUGUAGUUUAUAAAUGCUUCCAUAUUGAAAAAUAUGAUUCUCUGUUAUGACAAACAUCAAUA